UGUAAGGGAAUAGGAGUCUUGAGUAGGAGUCCUAUUAGGAGUUGGUUAGAAGUAAGAGUCUUAAGUAGGAGUCAUAUUAGGAGUUAGGGUUUAGAAGCCCUAUAAAUAGCCAUGUAUUCCUUCUCUUUUCUUAAGCAAUAGAUGAAUCUUUUCUGCAGCCUUUGAGCAGCAACUUGAAGGGAGGAACCCCUAUAGAGUUCCAAGGAGGUCGAUCCCCUAAAGAGAUCAACCCCAAGUUUAGAAUCUACAAGGGUUCUAACACCUGGUAUCAGAGCAGCGUUCUUGGCGUCUCGCUGCCCUUCCACAGCCAUCCAUCAACCCUCUACAACCAUCCAAAGCAAUUCCCACAAUUGCUUAAAAGAUCGUCACCGAAUUCCGCCAUCAUCUCCACCACCGUGGAUCAUCCUUCGAUCUCCCCGUGAAUUACAACAGGUUCUGGUUUCCUACCUUACUGCUGCUGCAAUUUAGUUAUCCUUAUUCGAAAAUUAAAAAAAAAAAAUCGUUCUUAUAUUGCAGAAUUCCAACCGCAUAGCACCAUCUGUUUGAUCUUGCUACUGUGCUUUUUCUAUCCAAAUUUCUACGAAAUUUUUAUGACAUCUUUGACACUUCCUAAUAGUGGAUUUCCCUUUGGUUUCAUCAAAAAAUUCUCAAUAUAAACUACUGAUCUUUUAUGUCCAAUCUGCUGCACUUGAAUUGCAGAAUUCAAGCCGCAUAGCACCAUCUGUUUGAUCUUCCUACUGUGCUUUUUCUAUCCAAAUUUCUACGAAAUUUUUAUGACAUCUUUGACACUUCAUAAUAGUAGAUUUCCCUGUGGUUUCAUCGAAAAAUUCUCAAUAUAAACUACUGAUCUUUUAUGUCCAAUCUGCUGCACUUGAAAAUCUAUGUUGCAGAAAAUUUCAGCUGCAUAUCGUUGCCUUAACCCAUCUAUUUGCAAUCUUUUUUGAAUGAAAUUUCUUAUAGACUUCAUAUAUCAUCUUGGCUUCCAUCUAAGAUUGAUCUAUUAAGAAAUUCAUCUCUAAAAACGAUUUUAUGUUGCUGCAAAUUUUCAUCGUAACCCGCUGAAAUUUUUUGACAAUAAUUCUGCAAUUGCAACUUGCACCAAUUUCUUUGCUGUUAUACUGCCGAAAUUUUCUUGAUUAAAUUAGAUAUCCUUGCUGUUAUAUAAACUGUGAUUUUGCUAUCA
Molecule: long non-coding RNA, 1183 nt
Filed under: Musa acuminata (dwarf banana)
Lineage: Eukaryota; Viridiplantae; Streptophyta; Magnoliopsida; Zingiberales; Musaceae
Description: long non-coding RNA (MACU_LNC008184)
Source: RNAcentral